Molecule: non-coding RNA, 82 nt
Filed under: Candidatus Accumulibacter
Lineage: Bacteria; Pseudomonadati; Pseudomonadota; Betaproteobacteria
Source: RNAcentral
CGCCGGGGUCGCGCCGAUUUGAUCUCAACAGAUUGCGGGCGCGUUAGAAAUGCCGCUAAAGCGAGGCCCGGAAUCGAAUCCC